RNAcentral lists this long non-coding RNA (533 nucleotides) under Ananas comosus (pineapple). RNAcentral describes it as "long non-coding RNA (ACOM_LNC024463)". The record is from RNAcentral. Lineage: Eukaryota; Viridiplantae; Streptophyta; Magnoliopsida; Poales; Bromeliaceae.
UUUAAAUAAAUGGUUCAGUUAGAUAAUCCUCUGAUUGCUUGAAUGUUGUGAACUGGUUUUAGUUGUGGAUGUUUUCAUUAUUUAUACAUUUGAACAGAGGUUUGUGGAUCUGGAUGUUGGUUUUAUGAAUAUCGGAUUUUCGUGUAUUUACAUAUCGUGGUUUUCUACCCCUCGAGGUAGUCAGUUUUCAAUAGAGUUUCCGAGUGGGAAACAGUUUUAAAAAGUUUUUUCGACUGUUUUAUGACUGAUCGGAUUAGAGUUUAAAAACAAAGCUUCCGAGUGGGGAGCACUUUUAAAAUAGGAUGAUUGUUGUAUUGUGCAUUGCAUCAUCCAGCGCUUAAGGAGUGCUUAGAGGCAUUCAUCAUCUAAGGAUCGAUAGUUGUAUAGAAUUGCAUAUCAUGAAUUGGUUGAUGAUUGGUAAGUGUAGAUUGUAGUUGAGAUCCUGAUGUAGCUGUUGGUACGUCGUGCAAAUACAAAGGAGACUCUAUCCGAGUGAACAGAGGAACUUUGUAUUUGUGGCGGGUCUGUACGUC